CGUCUAUAUACGUAUAGCAUAUCAAUAAGCGGAGGAAAAGAAACUAACUAGGAUUCCCUCAGUAACGGCGAGUGAAGCGGGAAGAGCUCAAAUUUGAAAUCUUCAAGGUUCUACCUUGACGAAUUGUAGUUUAAAGAAGUGUUUUCUGUUGGAGUUUUGGUAAAAGUUCUUUGGAAUAGGACAUCAUAGAGGGUGAGAAUCCCGUAUUUGACCAUUACUUUCCAGCUUUGUGAUACACUUUCAAAGAGUCGGAUUGUUUGGGAAUGCAGUCCAAAAUGGGUGGUAAAUUUCAUCUAAAGCUAAAUAUUGGCGAGAGACCGAUAGCGAACAAGUACCGUGAGGGAAAGAUGAAAAGAACUUUGAAAAGAGAGUUAAACAGUACGUGAAAUUGUCAAAAGGGAAGCGUUUGACACCAGUGUUGUUUUCUCGAAAAUCAAUUAAAAAUGAUUGGAUUUUGUGUUGUAUUGACUUUAUCAGCUUUCUGCACUCUUUUCUUGUCUUUUUUAAUGCACUUUUCGUUUAACAAGUCAACAUCAAUUUCUUUUGUUGUAAAAGGGUCAUUGGAAGGUGGCUUUCUUUUCGGAGAAAGUGUUUAUAGCCUUUGGCUUCUGCAAUCGGAGAGAUUGAGGUCUGCAGCGUAGAUCCUUCGGGGUUAGAUACAUUUGUGCUAAGUUAUAGCCUUUCAUAGACAACUUGUUGACUAUGAUCAGUCAUGUAGCUUACUCGCUUAUGCUAUUUUACCUACGCUUAGGAUGUUGACGAUCAGCUGAGCGCG
This 775-nucleotide ribosomal RNA is filed under the name uncultured Neocallimastigales. RNAcentral describes it as "partial large subunit ribosomal RNA". It matches the Rfam family "Eukaryotic large subunit ribosomal RNA", at positions 26 to 627 of the family's 3401-position model. The record is from RNAcentral. Lineage: Eukaryota; Fungi; Neocallimastigomycota; Neocallimastigomycetes; Neocallimastigales.